Molecule: long non-coding RNA, 3286 nt
Filed under: Pomacea canaliculata
Lineage: Eukaryota; Metazoa; Mollusca; Gastropoda; Architaenioglossa; Ampullariidae
Description: uncharacterized LOC112555161, transcript variant X2
Source: RNAcentral
ACACUAUUCUUCGCCAUUGCGUUUUAGCAAGCUAAUUAAGGCAACCGCCAGGAAUGUACGCAGGUAUAGUCAGUCAACCGUAAACAACGGGGUGCAGUCUAGAUGACGUCAUUGAACCGAACGAACUCAGAUUCUUGAGAAGUGAUUAGACACACAUCUUUCAUUGAAAAUGCCACAAUGUAGCUCUCGACGACGUGAUCAUAAGCGCCCCAUCGCCCGCUCCCCACAAUUCAAGUCUGUAUCAUGUACAUUGAAUAUACUCUAAUAAACCAUGCACGUAUGGAUGAGUAGUCUCAGCAUGACAUAUUUUGAAAGGUCGUGAUGUCAUCAUACACCAUCUGGUAGUCCAGCUGUCCAAAAAAAAGUGAUUAAUAUGCCGAUUGAAUGUGUUUAUGCUUGGACUCUGCUUCCUGCAAUUUAAUAACGAGGUAAGACUGCCAGAAGGACGGUUUCAUCAUAAAAUUAUUAUAGCAGCUGAAGUUGGUUUCAGGUAUCAACAUGAUGUCUCAUCUUUCGUGUUCACCUUGGACUCGGUAAGCUUAUAUUGUGCAACGUGAAACAGUUCUACAGGUCCCUGGACUCAUAGUGUUAAGGAGCAAGAACACAUUCUCCCGUGAAUGUGCUGACUGGUAUGUCCGUCGAGCAAGUCAUGGUCCAGCGGAAGUCCGGCAGGAAGUGAAUGUCAAGGUACGCUUUGCUGAGUGUCCUUGCUUCAGAUGACUGUGUGUUAUGGCGGAAACAACAGCUCUUUUCACGAUGCAAGACCUUUACAUCUGUUUUUGUCGCAUUUUCAUGUAUGCCUGGGUCUCUUGAGCCCCAUCAAAAGGAUCGCUAUCUUGAGCUUCACGAUGGAGAUGGAGCAGAAAGGGCAGCAGCUCGUUGCCUGGCAACCACGUGUGGCCAUUUUCAAAGGAGACAGCAGGAGUUCUAGUCCCGCCUGGAAACUGGAACCAGCUGCUCGUCGACUCCUGCAGCCUCUGGCCGCGCAGAUGGAGAUGAUGUAGCAGGCGUACUCCAACAUGCGUACAUGCACGUGCAAGGUGGAGAACUUGGCACGUGCGAGCUGAACCUUCGUGACCUGUCGCACGUGCUGCACAUUAAUCGCUAAAAGUCCCGCUGAUGCACACUAAUUGGUCGAGUCUCUCCAGUGCACACUAAUUGGUUCGGUCUUGCCAAUACACGCUAAUCAGUCCAGUCCCGUUAAUGCACACUGUCAUCGGCUGGCACCUCUACAAGUAUUUAUGUAAAGUUCUUAUGUUGUUGAGGGUGUCCACCCGCUCUGAGGAAUUCUCUGCUUGCGUGCAGUCGGGGUAUAAUGUUUGUGUUUCGCAUUAGUCAACAACUACUUUCACUUUAGCAAGAAAAGUCGAGCUACUGUUGAGCGUGGUGUUAACAAAUGUUUACAUUGUUGAUUCUUUAUUUUUCCGUUGCACAACAACAACCACCGACCACAUCAAACAAAGCCUGUCGUCUCUGGAAAUAUCUAUCAGCUUUCUGACAUCCGUUACUCCAAGAUCACUUCCUUCACCACCAGCAACAUAAGCACCACACAUACUUCCCAUCCCCCAAAGAGUUUCUUCUGAUUUUUCUUGACAUAAACAUUGCCACCAUCUUUCGUCUUGGUGUGUUUAGCCUGUGUAAAAUGCUCCAUCUGCUGCCUAUUUUUUUAAACUCACUUUUGGCAAAUUACCUAUGGUAACAUCUUGCCUGAACAACAGUUAUCUUUUUAAAAAUGUAUCUUAUGGCGAGGGUUCAUUAACUUUUGCACGUCUUUGAUGAAUGGCAGGAGCAGAUGAUGGAGGCACGAAAGGCUUCUUCUCGAGUACCGACAAUGUUUUCUCUGUGUAUGUGUUUAAUCAGUAAUACUUGCUCUUCAUAUAAACACAGAGAUCCAACAACCUUUUCUGUUCUUUGCAUUCUUUUCUGUUUGUGCAACACUUCACGCAGCCGAUGGGCCCGUCUAACUUAAUUAACAAGGUACGAGGGAAUGAGAGAAAAAUGUGAUGUAUAUUCAAGUACUCCUAGACAAGUAUUCUAUAGCAAUACCCUUUUAAUACUUGAAAUGUCAACAAGUAGUUGCUUUACUGAGCACACGUGAAUGAGAUCCACUGACGUGCACACGCCGACAAACACACAGGCUCAAACACAAACCACCACUUCAGCGCUAGCGCGCGCGCACACACACACACAAACACAUAAACGUGCAGCUAUGAUCCAUCCAACUGCAUGCAGUCUGGAACAGACAUACAUUUAUGCAGGACUGGUUGCAGGGUGAGAAAAUGCGCGCACUCACGCACACAGUCCCACAGGCACGCUCACGGUCUUUCCCUCUCCCAGCCUCUGCCAGUCCCUCCAUCCACCCAUCAACACACCGACACUGAGGUCAGAGGUGAUCGUGCACCCUCCACGAGCAGGAAGAUGUGUAGGUAGGCAAGAAGCGGAGGUGCCGCUGUCUGUUGGGAACCGCUUAUGUCUAUAAGCUGCCUGUCUUAUCUGUGAGUGAAAAAACUGCCUGUAUCAUGUUUUCUCGCUAAAAUUAGCUCUUGCAACCCGGGCACUGGCUGUGUAAGAGCAGCGAUCGAGGAAAAAAAAAUAUAAAGAAAAGAAAAGACGAGAAGAAAAGAGGCAAAACAGUUGCCAUGGAAAAGAAACAAGCAAAGAUCACAAGUUACCCCAUUUAAAAUGCACUUUGCACUAACCUUCGCUAGGGUUUGAACGGUUAACGCAGGUAUGCAAUGUCGACCCUCCAUGAAUAAUCAUUAAUUAGCUUCGGUAAUUAGCCACUGUACAGGUCUGACCACGAGUUAAUCGAAUUAACACAGUGGAGUAGUGGAGUGGGUGUGAUCAUACAACGUGUAUGGCAUGUAUGGUUGUUUGUGUGGCUCGGGGCCUGCGCCUAUUGGCAAUUAUGGUGAAACUUUUCUCAUCUAGUGCCAUACACAGUAAUGAGCAGCAUAUAUUUAUAUAAUUCUUAUAUAUUUAUUGUGUGAAUGCGACUGUGUAUAUUUGUGUUUAGUCACGUACCCAUGCUUACUAGGUACCACACAUGCAUCAAUAUAGAAAUAAAAAUACAUAAGAAUUGUCUCUCUCUCUCUCUCUCUCUCUCUCUGUAUUAUAACAUAUUACUAGUUAUUCUGUUUCAAAUGAUUUUCAUUGUGUUCCACCUUGAAGUCAUCAGGUACAGGUCAUGCCGGGUACGACCUGAAUCGGAUUAAAACUCUGUCCUAAAGAACUGAGCUUCACAAAGAAGUGGUCCAUCAAAAGACUCUUUCUUGCUACUCUUUUU